This 1523-nucleotide long non-coding RNA is filed under the name Homo sapiens (human). RNAcentral describes it as "HSALNT0395202". The record is from RNAcentral. Lineage: Eukaryota; Metazoa; Chordata; Mammalia; Primates; Hominidae.
UAAAUUGUGUGUGAUUCAUUAACCAUAACAAGUAUAUACACACAGACACACACACCACACACACACACACACAUACACACAGGCUUAGAAGUGCUGAAGAGGUGUGAGCACAUUCUGGAUCUUGGGCUAACUGCCUUUUUAUGUCUUUCCAGGAUGUCAGGGAUUCUUGAUGCAGGGUGACUGCUAACUCUUCCUGAAGGUUUCCCUGUUUUAUCCUGAGUGUGUGUCUGACCUACACUGUCUUCUUCACCAUACUCAGAAACAUGUUAGUCCCAGCCACUUUCUGGAAUUAGAACAUGGGAUUUGAGGUCAAGCAGGUGUGGGUUCAAAUUGCCUCUGUCAGUUACCAAUGGCAGGAUAUUCACCUAACAUUUCAAAAUCACAAUAGCGUGGAUAAAAAAUGCCAACCUCACAGGACCAAUUUGGGAGUUAUGUAUAAACACAAAGACACAUGUGCAUAUACACAUAUUCACAUGUGCACAUUCAAGGCACGUACACAUGUGCACAUACACAUAUACAUACACAUACACACUCAUGCACACACAUAUACACACACAUACAUAUGACAGAAGGAGAACCUGACACACGGUAUUCCUGUGAGAGGACAAACUUAGCGUUGCAUCAUGCAAUAAGAGUAAUUGAACAACACCCUGAUUACAUGUGGUACAAAUUCUAAUUUUCUAAUUUGUUGUCCUUUUACUUAUGAUAACUGCUUUGCAUACUCGAGAUGAAUCGUUUAAAGCUGAUGUGAGUGAGCAUAUCCAACAACAAUCCUAGCGCCUGCUGUGGAUCAGCUGUGCUCCAGUUGAAUGUACCUGUGCAGAUCCCUCUUGGAAACAUGCCCCAUGCCUUCGUUCUGCAGUAACUUGCUCUUCUCAGCUCUAUUUUUGGAGGCCUCAGGGCACUGAUUUUGAAUCUGGGCACCUCUGAAUUGUCACUUCUGACCAACAAGCAGUCUACUUUGUCAACACCUUUUCUUCUGGGACUUGUGUUGCCUGCCUGCUGGAAUUUUUCUCAUCUAGUCCUGCCUUCCACACUCCCCCCAUUAGAGAUGAACUCUUCCUGCGGGGCUGUUUGGCUCCUGGCUGGUCCGCUGGGGCUGUCCCUCAGACUCUGACCUCCCUCGGGCACCGACUUCAUGAAAACACAGCCCUAUCUGAGGGGCACCUGCCCAUGAAGCUGCUCUUCCUAAGCUUUGCAGUACCUGCCACAUUGUCUCCCCACUGCUAAUCAUAUUCUCUCUGCUAUGGUUGUUUAACAUUUUCUUCACAUUUAUAAGCAAUUUUGCGUUACAGAAUCAAAAGACCUUCACAUUAUGUCUUAUUCCCACCACGAAAUUUUAGGUUCUCUAAAUUGUGAGUACUCCUUAUGAUACUCCACAUGAUAAAUAUAUGUGAAAUACAUUUUUAGAAAUAUAAAUAUGGAAUUGUAUGCACACACAUAGAUCUUUUGGGAACUGGCUCAUUGGUCAUACCAAUUUUGGAAAAUAAUUAAUAAAAAUGUAAAGCCAAUGAAAACGUCAA